Crotalus tigris (Tiger rattlesnake) is the source of this 959-nucleotide long non-coding RNA. RefSeq lists it as uncharacterized. Lineage: Eukaryota; Metazoa; Chordata; Lepidosauria; Squamata; Viperidae. The transcript is spliced from 3 exons. The record is from RefSeq and is a predicted model, not a curated record.
GCUUUUCUGAUCCAGCGUACAGGUGUUUGGCCUGAGUCGCACACUGAUGGAGAGGGUUAUACGUGCUAGCUGGUCCAGCAGAAAUCUCUGGAUCCUGACACAGAAGUUUUAAUUAGUUAGGAGCUACCAAGUCUGGGCUGACAAAAUCUAGACGACCCCUGCAAAGAGAUACAGAAAACACUCACUUGUUGCUAUCAUCCGCUGGAUUUUCACCGGCCAGGUUUAGGAGUCUGAUUGGUGAUCAACAACCAGAUCUUCACCACUGCGAUGUUCAUGGUCUUGGGAACGGAGACCUAGCGCUAGUCUACUCUCAGAUUUUGAGAGCCAUCUCUUUUUCGCAGACGUGUGUGGCAGCCACGCUUUUGCUAUGAUCAAGAAGUGUAAACUGUAAACCAGCAGAAGAUCCUGAAAACCUUUAAUGAGAUGCAGGAUAUUUAUUUAUUCAUCCAUUGCCAGGAGUUCGAUCCUCACCGGCUCAAGGUUGACUUGGCCUUCCAAUUCUUCCGAGAAAUUUGGUAGGAGAUCAAGAUUAUGCCCUGGAUACCAAGGAAAAGGGUGUCAUUCAGUAAAACAAACAGGAGCUGCAUCAUUCCAGAUUUUUGGGGGAGCAGAUGAAGCUAACUGGAAGUCAAAGGAACAUGAGGAACAAGUGCACACAGGAACAAAAACACUGAAAGGUCUGAAUGUCUUGUGCUGGAUGGAUGCAAAGUGGAACGUCAAAAGGUAUGCAGUUUUCUCAAAGGCAGAUGACCCCAAAUGUACUCCGACAUCUCCGAUAAAAAUGCUCACAAAGAGACAAUGAGAAAAACUCUGUUGCCAGACCAGAGAGGAAAUACUAGAUCAGGGGUGUCAAACUUAAUUUCAUAGAGGGCCGUAUCAGCAUUGCAGUUGCCCUCGGGGGGGGGUGCGUGUGGCAAAGGUGGGUGCAGCCUACUGGGUGGGUGUGGCUGGAGUGUGUG